GUUGGGCAUCGUGGUGCAUGCCUGCAAACCCAGCUGCUUGGGAGGCUGAGACAGGAGGAUCACGAGUUCAAAGCCAGCCUCAGCAAAAGUGAGGCACUAAGCAACUCAGUGAGACCCUGUCUCUA
Molecule: small RNA, 125 nt
Filed under: Marmota monax (woodchuck)
Lineage: Eukaryota; Metazoa; Chordata; Mammalia; Rodentia; Sciuridae
Source: RNAcentral